UACGGAGGGUGCAAGCGUUAUCCGGAUUUACUGGGUUUAAAGGGUGUGUAGGCGGGCCAUUAAGUCAGGGGUGAAAUCCCGGAGCUCAACUCCGGAACUGCCUUUGAUACUAUUGGUCUUGAAUGUUGUUGAGGUGGGCGGAACGGGUCAUGUAGCGGUGAAAUGCAUAGAUAUGACCCGGAACACCGAUUGCGAAGGCAGCCCGCUGGGACGGUACUGACGCUAAGGCGCGAAAGCGUGGGGAGCGAACAGG
Molecule: ribosomal RNA, 253 nt
Filed under: uncultured bacterium
Lineage: Bacteria
Description: partial 16S ribosomal RNA
Rfam family: Bacterial small subunit ribosomal RNA
Source: RNAcentral